CCUACGGGGGGCAGCAGUGAGGAAUAUUGGUCAAUGGGCGCGAGCCUGAACCAGCCAAGUAGCGUGAAGGAUGACUGCACUACGGGUUGUAAACUUCUUUUAUAAAGGAAUAAAGUGAGGCACGUGUGCCUUGUUGUGUGUACUUUAUGAAUAAGGAUCGGCUAACUCCGUGCCAGCAGCCGCGGUAAUACGGAGGAUCCGAGCGUUAUCCGGAUUUAUUGGGUUUAAAGGGAGCGUAGAUGGGUUGUUAAGUCAGUUGUGAAAGUUUGCGGCUCAACCGUGAAAUUGCAAUUGAUACUGGCAGUCUCGAGUACAGUUGAGGUAGGCGGAAUUCGUGGUGUAGCGGUGAAAUGCUUAGAUAUCACGAAGAACUCCGAUUGCGAAGGCAGCAUACUAA
Molecule: ribosomal RNA, 397 nt
Filed under: uncultured bacterium
Lineage: Bacteria
Description: partial 16S ribosomal RNA
Rfam family: Bacterial small subunit ribosomal RNA
Source: RNAcentral